UUGCCUACGGGAGGCAGCAGUGGGGAAUAUUGGACAAUGGGGGCAACCCUGAUCCAGCCAUGCCGCGUGAGUGAUGAAGGCCUUCGGGUUGUAAAGCUCUUUUGGCGGUGACGAUGAUGACGGUACCCGCAGAAUAAGCCCCGGCUAACUUCGUGCCAGCAGCCGCGGUAAGACGAAGGGGGCUAGCGUUGUUCGGAAUUACUGGGCGUAAAGCGCGUGUAGGCGGGUUGCCAAGUUGGGUGUGAAAGCCUUGGGCUAAACUCAAGAAAUGCAAUCAGUACUGGCAGACUAGAGGACCGGAGAGGAUAGUGGAAUUCCCAGUGUAGUGGUGAAAUACGUAGAGAUUGGGAAGAACACCAGUGGCGAAGGCGGCUAUCUGGACGGUUUCUGACGCUAAGACGCGAAAGCGUGGGGAGCAAACAGGAUUAGAUACCCUGGUAGUCC
Molecule: ribosomal RNA, 444 nt
Filed under: uncultured Rhodospirillaceae bacterium
Lineage: Bacteria; Pseudomonadati; Pseudomonadota; Alphaproteobacteria; Rhodospirillales; Rhodospirillaceae
Description: bacterial SSU rRNA
Rfam family: Bacterial small subunit ribosomal RNA
Source: RNAcentral